Small nucleolar RNA from Psammomys obesus (fat sand rat), 142 nucleotides. RefSeq annotates it as small nucleolar RNA SNORA48. The transcript has a single exon. Lineage: Eukaryota; Metazoa; Chordata; Mammalia; Rodentia; Muridae. The record is from RefSeq and is a predicted model, not a curated record.
UCCUCCUGGCAAUAGUUAAAGAUACACCUUAUUGGUAAUGUUAUUCUUAUAUCAGUGAGGGGCAGAGAAGAUGGCAGUUUUGUUCAUCUUAGCUUGAUGUGUGGCUUGGUGGCCAAAGUUGCUUUAUGUGCAGGACACAUCA